CUAAUUAGGGAACUCAUGCAUUUGUUAGGUGCGGUACAAGGACCUAAAGUAGUUCCACUCAAGCAGCUAAACAAAGAUUUCGAGGAGUAUGAAUUGGUUUACGUAGAAGACCCUGAGGAUGACUUUUAUUAGCAUUAGAUGAAUGGAAGUUGGCAGGCUAGCUACCUCUAGUUGCUAGUCUUAUUUAUUUUUGUUUCCGUUGUUUCAAUAAAUGUACGAACAUCUUGAGUAUUCGUAGACUUCCUUUUAUAUGUAAUUCGAACCGCAUUUUAUU
Long non-coding RNA from Coffea eugenioides, 274 nucleotides. RefSeq lists it as uncharacterized. NCBI's taxonomy places the organism in Eukaryota, Viridiplantae, Streptophyta, Magnoliopsida, Gentianales, Rubiaceae. The record is from RefSeq and is a predicted model, not a curated record. The transcript is spliced from 2 exons.